This is a long non-coding RNA of Brienomyrus brachyistius, 3905 nucleotides long. RefSeq lists it as uncharacterized. The record is from RefSeq and is a predicted model, not a curated record. Lineage: Eukaryota; Metazoa; Chordata; Actinopteri; Osteoglossiformes; Mormyridae. The transcript has 2 exons.
AUGUCUUUAUUUCAAAGACGAUAGAGCGUAUACUGGCAAUAUUUCUGUUAACCUUUACCAGGAUCCGAAACCUGAUCCCUCAACAUUUAAAAAACACCCCCCCCAGACACACACAGCCCACCUUGUUGCACAAGAAGCAAGAGACAAUACAUCUACGAGAGCAUUACCCUGGUACCCUGCACUCAACGCCACACACACCAGCAGUGCUCCCAGUUUUACUAAAUCAAGGCUGUCUGAAGAUACCACUAGAUAAGCUUCCGUAUUCGUUUGUGCUUUAAGUUCAGGAAAUCGCAGGGAACACGUAUGGCCGCAAUAAACUUUAAAUAAGGAAAGGUGCCCAGGAAAAAUGACAAAAACUCAGAACAUUCAAGGAUUUACCUCUCCCCAGCCUCCUGCCCUUCUCCAAAUGUGCCCGAUCUACAUUAAAGGUGAAGAGCUUUGAUGAAAAUCCAGGCUGACAUGGCUCUUCCUCUUCACAUGACCCUAAAUUGAAAACCUGGAAGAAGGAAAGAAAGAGAAAGAGGGAAAGAAGCGGCUCAACAACUCAGCGCAAAAGCAGGUAAGGCGCACUGCUUUUACAAUGGCUUUGGCCGGGGCACCUUCGAGCCGUGCAGAGACCCGCCAUAAGCUACGGAAACAAGGACGCUUAUCCAACUUAGGAAUUGAAGACGAAGUAGAAAACGAUACACCACAAUUUCGCCAAUCAGUCCAGUGGAUUUAAGGUUUAAUAAGACUUAAAUUACAUAAAGUAAGCAAUAAAUACAUAAAUGAAAUCAAGGGCGCUGCCACGGUUGGGCGCUCACUCCCAAACUAAUGGGUCCAACGACUCCGAAGCAAACAGACCACAGGCAACUUUAAUUACAUAUCUGCUAGCGUCUACGUUUAAUUUAUAAUAUUUAAAUAUAUAAAAAAAAUAACAACUUUAAGGGGGUUAAAAAAAAUGAAAGGCUUCAUAUCCACAGCACAGCAACCACGAAAACCCAAGUAAAAACCAACUUACCUGGAGUAAAAAGAUAAGUCCCAACGCCAAGACCUUGUAAGUCCCCAUUAGAGCGAAGUCUCGCCGAAAACCUCUGUUCUCUGUAAGCAGGGAUAGUGAACGUUUGAAGGGGGGAAAAAAAGCAAAUCCGCCUUAGUCCACACAGUUUCGCAGGCUACCCCUCCCCAAAGGUGUGCUGGCACAUUAAUGCGCAGCUGAGCAGGUAGUUUCGGGAAGCGGGGGCUGCCGCGCCCCUUAGGACGGCCAACAUCCAAAUAUGGGCAUGGAGCCUCUUCAUCCGCAAGCUGCCUACAGGUAAAUGGAGACUCCGCUCUUUCUCACCGGGUCCUAAAGCCAACCGUUUCAAUUUAUUCCCUACGGGGUUUUAGAGGAAACGCCCGCAAGAGCGAGCGCGUUUGUCCUGGAAAAACUCGGCGUUGAAAUGCAAAUUGUGGUUUGGGUAUACGAGCCCCCUACUUUGGAUGGCGUUAUUGCAGGUCUCGGCACCCAGAGAACAAUGCUGCAAAUACCUCCCAGUCUCACUCAGGCUGUCACACCCUUAUUAGACCAUUUAAUUCCUCCCGAUAGCUAACAGUUACACUGCCCUAAGUACACAUUGCAGCUUAUCUUUCGACACUGCUCAAAAGCAUGAUGUACUUUAGCCUCAGUUUAAAAGUUAAAAUGAGUUAAAAUUUGAAACAGUUUUAAAACGAGAACUUGUGUUUAAUUGUGUAAAAAUGAUUGGUGCCUGUUUCUUCAUUGCCAUGUGAAGGUCCACAUUGGGGUACAGAAUCCUUGCAUAAUAUCUUCACCUCAACCAGAGCUGAACUGAAAGGCACCAUUCAGCAGAUCUUACUGACCACACACUCCAUGAUCCUAAUGCCCUACCGCUUUUGGGAUCUGGAGAGUUAGGAAGGUUGUUUCGUAUUCAGCCACCAUACUUGUAUAUUUCAUCAAUAUUUGAGCCCAGGAAUCCCCCAGACUUCCCAUCCUGUCUACAGUUUCCUUGUAUUCAUAGCUUUCACUAUGACAUCACUUCGCGUCAUAUGUUGUAGGCAAGGGUCUACCUAGAAUUUCUGGACCUCCUGAAAAAAACUCUUCAUGGUCCCUUGUCAAGCGGUGUCUCCCCUGAAUCUGACAGGGUAUCCAUGACCCUCCGACAGCCCUGGAUUUAUUGCUGAAACUUUGGUUGUUUGGCAAGCAGAACUGUAAUGAGAAGAGAGAUUUUUCCUGUUCAUGCCUGAUACAUAGGAUAAUAUUAUGGAUUAUGGGUUCAAAUUCUGAGCCUGGCAGAGUAAUGAUAUCACCGUCGAGCCCUUGCGCGAAGCCCUUAACCCCAUCUGCUAAGGAAGGCUGUACACUGGCUGAACUGGUGUUCUGACCCCUGAACUUAGCUGAACAUGCCUACACAUUUGUGUCUCUCACAGAGAGCCAGAUUAGGCAUGUGACAAUCCAAAGAAUUCCUGUGUGCUGCACAAAUGACAAGUUAAGUAUCAAUGAUACUAUAUGUAUGAGGUCAUAUAUACAAAUACAGAACUCGAGGAACAGGUUUAGCAAACUAUUACAAAUUGUUAUGGUCAGCUGACUGUGACCAUCUCCCCCUAGCCCCCCUCACACAAAUAUCAUGUAUUGUUUUGCAUCAAACAGUAAUACCUAUUGUUGCUGCAAUAUUUUACAUGGUAUUACAUUUUAUUAAAUAAUAUACGUAUGUUAUUUAAAUUGACAUUAAUGUUAUUAGUUAAUACCAUUACUGUCACUUCAUUUUUUGAGAACUGCUAUUUGUUUCUUCAAGGGUGUUGUGUGUCUGGGAGGGUUAGGACUAGGUCUCUGUAAUCAGAAGGUCGUUGGUUCAAAUCCUGUGGUUGGUAAAGUAAGCUUAUUUUUAUUUUUGGGCUCUUCAGUCGUUUCAGGGACUGGCUUGACCAUGUUUUCUUAGCUAUAUGUUGCUUUGGACAGAAGCAUUUGCCAAAUACAUACAUAUGACCGAAUCAGACAUUUACCACUCAGUAAGUAUAUGAAGCUCAGUCAUCAUGUGAUGUUUCCUGCUGGUCUUGAACCAUUUAUACAGCAUCAAUUAUGCAGAAGGUGGUGGUAGAAGGAAUAUUCUGUGAUACUUCCUUUUUCUGUCCUUUUCGAGACAUUUGUUGAUUGGUAUCAGUUCAUGUCUGUAAGCCGAAUACUGCAAGUCAGGAGAUCUGAACAAUUAUUUGAUGGGUGGGACUGCGGCAAUGACUAUUUUGUGGUCUAAAUGACAAGGUGUGUUAAAUUGAAUUGUUCUUUUUAUAAAAGUAACCGCAGUUUCAGAGUAAAAUGAGAUUAAGAUUCCAGAGUCUCUGAAAAAGAUGAGGUUAAAAAUAAGUUUGACUUCAAACUUUUUAGUUCCUUGUUAAAUAAUUUAUGAUGGUGAGAUAUUGAUCUAUUACUCUUAUUGCUCUUUUCAUACUCACAACAACUUGCAUUAAUGGAGAAUCUCUUAUGCUGAGUAUGGAGAUUAGUUAAGUGGUUACUGGAAUGAGUAUAUGAUGCAUCUGUGUGGUUAAAUGUUAUAGGAUCAAAAUAGGCUUUAUCUUCUAAUACAUGUUUUUUCUAACAAAAGUGCAACCAAUUGUUGAUAAUGAAAUUAUGGGUUUUUCUCACAGGCUAUAGCAUGAAGCAUAAAAUAAAUGAAGCUUAAAGCCAAUGCUGAACCUUUUUCCCACCAUCUUGACAAUACUUAUUCUGAAUUGCAAAUAAGCUGUAACUGUGUUUAAAUACUGUAACCUUUGGAAAUAGCCUUGUACAGGCAGGGCAUCCUUCCCUUUAAUGUAAUUACUCAUUAAGUCGCAUUAAGUCAUUAAUUGUUAAAUCAGAGCAGGGAGGACAGAUGUUUUAUGUCUUGUUCAUGGGAAAUUGAACUGCUUUUUAAUAUUAAAUGUUCCACACUUGA